RNAcentral lists this ribosomal RNA (253 nucleotides) under uncultured bacterium. RNAcentral describes it as "partial 16S ribosomal RNA". It matches the Rfam family "Bacterial small subunit ribosomal RNA", at positions 524 to 776 of the family's 1533-position model. The record is from RNAcentral.
UACGGAGGGUGCAAGCGUUAAUCGGAAUUACUGGGCGUAAAGCGUGCGUAGGCGGUUUGUUUAGUCAGAUGUGAAAUCCCCGGGCUCAACCUGGGAACUGCAUUCGAAACUGCCUGGCUAGAGUUUGAUAGAGGGAAGUGGAAUUCCACAUGUAGCGGUGAAAUGCGUAGAUAUGUGGAGGAACGUCAGUGGCGAAGGCGGCUUCCUGGCUUAAAACUGACACUGUGGCGCGAAAGCGUGGGUAGCAAACAGG